RNAcentral lists this long non-coding RNA (968 nucleotides) under Mus spicilegus (steppe mouse). Its description in RNAcentral is "lncRNA (ENSMSIG00000015940.1)". Lineage: Eukaryota; Metazoa; Chordata; Mammalia; Rodentia; Muridae. The record is from RNAcentral.
CAUUCAGACACAUGAUCUAGACACAAUGUAGAAGUGGGCCAAGGACUCACAUGAAGACGUGUAGUAGACGUGUGUCAUGUGUAGCAAAUAUGUUAUGAAUUGGCAGUGUGGACAUACUCUAAAGAUGUGGUUUUCUGAGUCCCGCUGAACCUUACAGGAGUGUUAGUGAAACUUUGGUGGUCAAGGACCCCCAGAGGAAACCAUCCGAGACUGAGGCUCAGAUGGAGCAGAGAGAGAUCUUCACUCUUCGGCAACAGACUCAGGAUUUGGAAAAGUGAACAUGACAGUGUUGAGCUCAAAAUGAGAUGCCUCUCACCAGCUCCCAAGGACUUACCAUUCCCAGAGAGCUUGGUUCUGCCUCCUUAUGGAAGGGAGUGAGUGGCGGAGAGUUACCCACAGUGCUGUAUUAACACCAUCUCUCCAAAGAGCCCCUGGCAUUCUCUAGCAAGCGUGGAACCCUCUCUGGAGGAUGCCGAGAGACCGUGCUGCCUGAGCAGUUCAUCAUCUCUGAUCUGCUGCAGUGACUUAGGCCCCAUCAAGUACUGGGAGCUGAUAGACUCGUCAAGUCAGAGCUUAGAUACCAAAACACAGAUGAUGUGGAUUGUCUAGAGACACGCUCAAGCCAGCCCAGAGGGCACAAUGCUGCUUCCCAGAUGGGUGGUCUCAACCCCACAUCCCCGUCUGUCCCAUCUCCCUCACACGGCUCACACCAUGAUUUCCUGAAAGAAAGGCAAGUUUAAACUACAAACUUGGCUUUCAUUGCAAAGUAAAACAAGGUCUAUUACUAUCUUGUCAAACUAGACCUUUCAGACAGGGGCCAGGGACAUUCCCAAUUGACAGCCUUGAGUAUCUCUCGCUCGACAUGAACCUUGACACCAGCUCACGUGCCACAGUGAAUUCUUACUGUGCAUCUCAAGCCUGAGGGGAAAUGCCAGAAGUCAAAGAGGGGUGUGAGCGUGUGAGUGCCC